CAGAGGAGCGCAGUGCAGUUGGGAGAGCGCAGCCCCCAUUGAUGGGGAGAGGUGGAGGGAACAGAAAAUAUCUGUAUUUGCACCGGGGCGAAAAGAGAGGAAAAGGGAAAGAAAAGAAAAUGAAGAGGAAUCAUCAAAGCACUUUCAGACCAGAAUCUGCUUCAAACAAAAUUCUGUACUCUCUUUGCUAACCGGAUGGAUGUCACUAAGAGACGCGGGUACUGAGCGCUUCUGCAACAAAACCCACCUCCGUUCCCGCACCCGGAGCUGAGCGGCUCGGGGCCGGGGGGGCCCUGCACUAGGGGGCAGCCGCACGCCGGUAACAUCGGCUCCGAACCGCGAGGAGCGGGAUGAACCAGCCGCGUUUGUAAAGAAAACAACUCCCACCGCCUGCAGCAGGAAAUCACUAUUUGGGUUUAUGAGGCACCUCUUCCUGACGAGCUGCACACAGCGGUCUCCGCUUGCUCUGCAGGGCGGGUAUCCCCCCAGCACCGGGCAGCAGGAUGGGCUGGUGGCACUGCUGCAGACCUCGUGCAACGGCUGUGGUGUCUGCGAGAGGGGGAAUGAGGGCUGCUGGAGCUGCUGGCCGUGGUGAUGGCAGCUGAGACGACAGAAGGGAGGUAGAGGCAAAGCGGCGCCGAUAGGCUUGCAGCGCUCCGUGUGCACUGAGGUGCUGAGUGUGUAAGGAAUGUGACGGAAAUGGAAAUAAACUCACUCUGAGUUCUAUCGGCCACAUUUCCCAGCUCAGGCCCAUGGCAGAGGGUGCGAUCGGCCCAGGUAACAUGAAGUGAAAUGCCAGGCAGGAUCUGCCCCCCCAUGGCCCCACACACCUAACCUGCCCCAUGCCUGGUGGUGCUGCGCCGUGUGUGUUCAUCCAGCUGUCCAGAUGGGCUUCUCGGAACCGCAGCACAGCCGCAGCCCUUAAC
Gallus gallus (chicken) is the source of this 926-nucleotide long non-coding RNA. RefSeq lists it as uncharacterized. Lineage: Eukaryota; Metazoa; Chordata; Aves; Galliformes; Phasianidae. The record is from RefSeq and is a predicted model, not a curated record. The transcript has 3 exons.